RNAcentral lists this ribosomal RNA (468 nucleotides) under uncultured bacterium. Its description in RNAcentral is "partial 16S ribosomal RNA". It matches the Rfam family "Bacterial small subunit ribosomal RNA", at positions 28 to 507 of the family's 1533-position model. The record is from RNAcentral.
GACGAACGCUGGCGGCGUGCUUAACACAUGCAAGUCGAACGGAAAGGCCCUGCUUUUGUGGGGUGCUCGAGUGGCGAACGGGUGAGUAACACGUGAGUAACCUGCCCUUGACUUUGGGAUAACUUCAGGAAACUGGGGCUAAUAUCGGAUAGGAGCUCCUGCUGCAUGGUGGGGGUUGGAAAGUUUCGGCGGUUGGGGCUGGACUCGCGGCUUAUCAGCUUGUUGGUGGGGUAGUGGCUUACCAAGGCUUUGACGGGUAGCCGGCCUGAGAGGGUGACCGGCCACAUUGGGACUGAGAUACGGCCCAGACUCCUACGGGAGGCAGCAGUGGGGAAUAUUGCACAAUGGGCGGAAGCCUGAUGCAGCAACGCCGCGUGCGGGAUGACGGCCUUCGGGUUGUAAACCGCUUUCGCCUGUGACGAAGCGUGAGUGACGGUAAUGGGUAAAGAAGCACCGGCUAACUACGUG